RNAcentral lists this ribosomal RNA (92 nucleotides) under Sphenodon punctatus (tuatara). Lineage: Eukaryota; Metazoa; Chordata; Lepidosauria; Sphenodontia; Sphenodontidae. The record is from RNAcentral.
GCCUACGGCCACACCGGACUGAACGUGCCCGAUCCCGUCCGAUCUCAGAAGCCAAGCAGUCCCAGGCCCGACCAGUACCUGGAUGGAAGUCU